This 2905-nucleotide ribosomal RNA is filed under the name Escherichia albertii. Its description in RNAcentral is "23S ribosomal RNA". It matches the Rfam family "Bacterial large subunit ribosomal RNA". The record is from RNAcentral. Lineage: Bacteria; Pseudomonadati; Pseudomonadota; Gammaproteobacteria; Enterobacterales; Enterobacteriaceae.
GGUUAAGCGACUAAGCGUACACGGUGGAUGCCCUGGCAGUCAGAGGCGAUGAAGGACGUGCUAAUCUGCGAAAAGCGUCGGUAAGGUGAUAUGAACCGUUAUAACCGGCGAUGUCCGAAUGGGGAAACCCAGUGUGUUUCGACACACUAUCAUUAACUGAAUCCAUAGGUUAAUGAGGCGAACCGGGGGAACUGAAACAUCUAAGUACCCCGAGGAAAAGAAAUCAACCGAGAUUCCCCCAGUAGCGGCGAGCGAACGGGGAGGAGCCCAGAGCCUGAAUCAGUGUGUGUGUUAGUGGAAGCGUCUGGAAAGGCGCGCGAUACAGGGUGACAGCCCCGUACACAAAAAUGCACAUGCUGUGAGCUCGAUGAGUAGGGCGGGACACGUGGUAUCCUGUCUGAAUAUGGGGGGACCAUCCUCCAAGGCUAAAUACUCCUGACUGACCGAUAGUGAACCAGUACCGUGAGGGAAAGGCGAAAAGAACCCCGGCGAGGGGAGUGAAAAAGAACCUGAAACCGUGUACGUACAAGCAGUGGGAGCCCUGAUUUAUCAGGGUGACUGCGUACCUUUUGUAUAAUGGGUCAGCGACUUAUAUUCUGUAGCAAGGUUAACCGAAUAGGGGAGCCGGAGGGAAACCGAGUCUUAACUGGGCGUUAAGUUGCAGGGUAUAGACCCGAAACCCGGUGAUCUAGCCAUGGGCAGGUUGAAGGUUGGGUAACACUAACUGGAGGACCGAACCGACUAAUGUUGAAAAAUUAGCGGAUGACUUGUGGCUGGGGGUGAAAGGCCAAUCAAACCGGGAGAUAGCUGGUUCUCCCCGAAAGCUAUUUAGGUAGCGCCUCGUGAAUUCAUCUCCGGGGGUAGAGCACUGUUUCGGCAAGGGGGUCAUCCCGACUUACCAACCCGAUGCAAACUGCGAAUACCGGAGAAUGUUAUCACGGGAGACACACGGCGGGUGCUAACGUCCGUCGUGAAGAGGGAAACAACCCAGACCGCCAGCUAAGGUCCCAAAGUCAUGGUUAAGUGGGAAACGAUGUGGGAAGGCCCAGACAGCCAGGAUGUUGGCUUAGAAGCAGCCAUCAUUUAAAGAAAGCGUAAUAGCUCACUGGUCGAGUCGGCCUGCGCGGAAGAUGUAACGGGGCUAAACCAUGCACCGAAGCUGCGGCAGCGACACUGUGUGUUGUUGGGUAGGGGAGCGUUCUGUAAGCCUGCGAAGGUGUGCUGUGAGGUAUGCUGGAGGUAUCAGAAGUGCGAAUGCUGACAUAAGUAACGAUAAAGCGGGUGAAAAGCCCGCUCGCCGGAAGACCAAGGGUUCCUGUCCAACGUUAAUCGGGGCAGGGUGAGUCGACCCCUAAGGCGAGGCCGAAAGGCGUAGUCGAUGGGAAACAGGUUAAUAUUCCUGUACUUGGUGUUACUGCGAAGGGGGGACGGAGAAGGCUAUGUUGGCCGGGCGACGGUUGUCCCGGUUUAAGCGUGUAGGCUGGUUUUCCAGGCAAAUCCGGAGAAUCAAGGCUGAGGCGUGAUGACGAGGCACUACGGUGCUGAAGCGACAAAUGCCCUGCUUCCAGGAAAAGCCUCUAAGCAUCAGGUAACAUCAAAUCGUACCCCAAACCGACACAGGUGGUCAGGUAGAGAAUACCAAGGCGCUUGAGAGAACUCGGGUGAAGGAACUAGGCAAAAUGGUGCCGUAACUUCGGGAGAAGGCACGCUGAUAUGUAGGUGAAGCGACUUGCUCGUGGAGCUGAAAUCAGUCGAAGAUACCAGCUGGCUGCAACUGUUUAUUAAAAACACAGCACUGUGCAAACACGAAAGUGGACGUAUACGGUGUGACGCCUGCCCGGUGCCGGAAGGUUAAUUGAUGGGGUCAGCGCAAGCGAAGCUCUUGAUCGAAGCCCCGGUAAACGGCGGCCGUAACUAUAACGGUCCUAAGGUAGCGAAAUUCCUUGUCGGGUAAGUUCCGACCUGCACGAAUGGCGUAAUGAUGGCCAGGCUGUCUCCACCCGAGACUCAGUGAAAUUGAACUCGCUGUGAAGAUGCAGUGUACCCGCGGCAAGACGGAAAGACCCCGUGAACCUUUACUAUAGCUUGACACUGAACACUGGUCCUUGAUGUGUAGGAUAGGUGGGAGGCUUUGAAGUGUGGACGCCAGUCUGCAUGGAGCCGUCCUUGAAAUACCACCCUUUAAUGGCUGGUGUUCUAACGUGGGCCCGUAAUCCGGGUUGCGGACAGUGUCUGGUGGGUAGUUUGACUGGGGCGGUCUCCUCCUAAAGAGUAACGGAGGAGCACGAAGGUUGGCUAAUCCUGGUCGGACAUCAGGAGGUUAGUGCAAUGGCAUAAGCCAGCUUGACUGCGAGCGUGACGGCGCGAGCAGGUGCGAAAGCAGGUCAUAGUGAUCCGGUGGUUCUGAAUGGAAGGGCCAUCGCUCAACGGAUAAAAGGUACUCCGGGGAUAACAGGCUGAUACCGCCCAAGAGUUCAUAUCGACGGCGGUGUUUGGCACCUCGAUGUCGGCUCAUCACAUCCUGGGGCUGAAGUAGGUCCCAAGGGUAUGGCUGUUCGCCAUUUAAAGUGGUACGCGAGCUGGGUUUAGAACGUCGUGAGACAGUUCGGUCCCUAUCUGCCGUGGGCGCUGGAGAACUGAGGGGGGCUGCUCCUAGUACGAGAGGACCGGAGUGGACGCAUCACUGGUGUUCGGGUUGUCAUGCCAAUGGCACUGCCCGGUAGCUAAAUGCGGAAGAGAUAAGUGCUGAAAGCAUCUAAGCACGAAACUUGCCCCGAGAUGAGUUCUCCCUGAGACUUAGAGUCUCCUGAAGGAACGUUGAAGACGACGACGUUGAUAGGCCGGGUGUGUAAGCGCAGCGAUGCGUUGAGCUAACCGGUACUAAUGAACCGUGAGGCUUAACCUU